AGCGCAAGCUGCUGCCUGUUUGCCUGUUUGCUUAAGCUCACCUCCCCCCCAGCCCCUCUCCAUCGGACCCUGUUAUUUUGAGACCCUAAGGAUACUGUGGGUUCUACACAGGUCUGCCUGGUUCCUUGCUGCAGGCUGGCUGCCCUGGAAGUCUUCUCAGGAACUAUGAGAACAUCAAGUCUGUUCAGAUGGCAUCUCCUAGACAUCUCAUUUACAUACUCUUUCUCUCUCAGGCUGGCACCCCUUGUCAUCAUGGAUUUUGCUACCCUACCAGCCAAGGAUGCUGCCUGUGGACCUUUGACGAGAACCAUGAGUCAAGAUGAGAUCCCCUCGAUCCAGUCUUUAUAUUGUUGCUAACAGAAGAUGGAAGGCUGGAUCUAUAGCUGGUCCCAGUACGUUCUCCACACUAAAGCCUGCAGAGCCGUUCAGAAGCUACCCUGUGGGCUCAAAGAGCUUGGAUGUUAUUGCCACUCUUUCUAGGUAAGGACCAAGCUCCUUUUCUUGCUCUCCUCCCACUCCCCUCCUGAUUUCUAACCCUUGCAGCGUUCCAGCUAUUUAACUGCUUGAGCAAGGUUAACUCUUGAUUGAUGGACCAUUUUGUCCACCACAAGGGCUCCGGGGAUAAAUCUGUGAGAUGAGGCUAAAUUUUAUCAACAGUUUAGGAGUGAUUCUACAUUUGAACAACUGGUUCAGCUCCUGAAGUGUGUUUGAUUUCCAUCUGUGCUCCUGAAGCCUUUCUUCUUCUAGUUGCUGGAACUUUCCACACUGCUGUCAGUCAAAAGGUCCUCUCUCCACAGCUCCUGUUGUUCUUUAGAUCUCAGCCCCUGUGUUCAGUCCAACAGGGAAACCUGCUCUGUGGCCUUCUCCAGAGCUGGGUGUGUGGAUUGUUUCUCCCUGUUUUAACCCCCUCCUAUUUAUUUAUGCAUUUUUGGCUCAACAUUCUCUGUAAUUGAUUGUGGCAUGUAUCAGUCACUUACUGCUGAAAGAAUAAAACGAGAAUCGAGUGGUUAGGUUGAGCAUUUGUUUUAAAAAGAAUAUCAUUAAGUUAUUUCCAUAUAUGCAUACAAUGAGCCUUGACCAUCCUUUCAUGGUCUCUUCUAUACUUCUAAUGCCCUUCUUCCCUUUCACAUCUCUGUGAGAUAAGAAAAUGGGUCUUUGUGGGGCUCUUUUAUUCCACUUAACAUAUUGAUUUCUAGUUCCUUCCACUUUCCUGCAAACAGCAUAGUUUCAUUCAUUAUGACACAACUAAGUUUCAUGAUGUAUGUUUACUAUAUUUUCUUUAUUUGUUCUUCCUUUGGUAGUUAUCAGGCAAUGUUUUAAAAUUCGAUGUUAUGCAUGGGUAUUGUGCAUGCUGCCCCAAUCUCUGUGAGGUCCUGUGUGCAACUGCCCUGCUGUGUCCAGAAUGCUCGGCUUCAAUGCCGUUGUCUCUCACUUCUGGCUCUUAGAGUGUUUCAGGCCAAUCUUGCACCAUGAUUUUGGAUGGGUACACACCCAAAAGUAUGUAGGUGGCAUAAAAUGGACUUGGUGAGUUUUCAAAAAUGAGGACACAAAGUUAGAUGGGUAUGGAAUGAGGGGUGGAUCUGGGAGGAGUUGUGGAAAGGUGGAUAAGUUUAAGCAAAUAUAAUGCAAAAAAUUCUCAAAGCAUUUAAUACAAAUAUUUGAUGCUAUAUGUUCCAGUGGACAUUUGUUUUUGAUUGUUUGUUUGUUUUGUUUUUUCCAUUAUACUUUUUUGGAGUCAAUUUGGCCAAAUAAUAGAAAGCCCUUGAAGAUACAUGCCUAACUUGUCAUGAGGAAACCUGGUUCCUGCCCAUUCCACAUCAACCUGUCUCUUCACUAGUUACCCAGUCUCCCAUAUUCUACUUAGAGAGCAACAAGAGACCAAAGAAAUGAUUGUGUCUACAUCCAGGUUGGUGAAUCAAUGAGUUUGUUGUGGUUGCUCCUAGGAGGAGUGUAGGUAACCAAAAGGCAGCAUCACUGUAUCGUUGAUGGGUGGGUGAUGACUCAGGAGAGCUAAAUUACUGGAGUUCCCUA
This 2031-nucleotide long non-coding RNA is filed under the name Mus musculus (house mouse). Its description in RNAcentral is "predicted gene, 30563". Lineage: Eukaryota; Metazoa; Chordata; Mammalia; Rodentia; Muridae. The record is from RNAcentral.